This 300-nucleotide ribosomal RNA is filed under the name uncultured Thermodesulfobacterium sp. Its description in RNAcentral is "bacterial SSU rRNA". It matches the Rfam family "Bacterial small subunit ribosomal RNA", at positions 496 to 795 of the family's 1533-position model. The record is from RNAcentral. Lineage: Bacteria; Pseudomonadati; Thermodesulfobacteriota; Thermodesulfobacteria; Thermodesulfobacteriales; Thermodesulfobacteriaceae.
GCUAAUCCGGGGCAGGGAGCGCGGGUAAGACGGAGGGUGGGGGCUUUAAUCGGAAUUACUGGGCGUAAAGGGGGCGUAGGCUGUUGGGUCAGUCAGCCGUGAAAGCCCUGGGCUUAACCUGGGAAUGGCGGUUGAGACGGCCAGACUAGAGUGGGCUAGAGGAUCGUGGAAUUCCGGGUGUAGCAGUGAAAUGCGUAGAGAUCCGGAGGAACACCGAUGGCGAAGGCAGCGAUCUGGGGCCACACUGACGCUGAGGCACGAAAGCGUGGGGAGCAAACAGGAUUAGAUACCCUUGUAGUC